Molecule: long non-coding RNA, 777 nt
Organism: Xenia sp. Carnegie-2017
Lineage: Eukaryota; Metazoa; Cnidaria; Anthozoa; Malacalcyonacea; Xeniidae
Exons: 9
Source: RefSeq, a predicted model, not a curated record
UCCAAACGGCUGGGGUCCUACCUCAGUUUCAGAUGCAUUUAAAGGAAUACCUUAUCAACCAUUCUCUAAAGGAGAUAAACUUGGCAAGGUUUCUGAUUGGUCAAGUACAGCCUAUCAAGAUCGUUGAUACCAAAAUAAAUACUUAAAUCAAUUUGGUGGUGGUAAUCAAUAUGCAUAUUAUCACGAAGAAGAUGAAUCAACUUUCCAUCUUGUUGACACAAGUCGACCACAAAAGCCUGUUUACAUGCGCAAUAGGAACAAAUUCAAUCAGAGAAAUAAUCGACGUGAUAAAGAGCGUCAAAUGCAACGUCAGCAAGCUGGGAUGCAGAAUUUGCUGAAGACUCAUGACAACAGACUCCAUCGUAAAUUGCAAAAACAAUUUGCCAACAGAAACAACUGGAAAGAACGAAGAAAUCAGACUCCUCAGAGGAUACGUAAUGCAUCUGUGAUGGUUCGGGAAGAGUGGAAGGUUAUUGAAGAAAUGGAUUUUCCAAGAUUAUCAAAAUUGAGUCUACCAAAUGUUCUUGAUCCAGAUGAUUUCAUGAGUGGUGAAAGUUGAUAUGUGGUGAUAUCAAGCGAUCAUAAGUUCAGUGGAGAUUAUGUUGAACUUGGCAAGUGUAGAUAUUACAAAGCAAGCAAUUAUUGAUCGCUUGUUGGGUGGAGUAAAGCAAUGUCAGGUACGAUUUGGUAGUACAACCGAAUUGGCUUCUAAGAAGGAUAGCAGAAUCUCUUGUCUUUGUGAGCAAUGGAACAUUGUUCUUCAAUUUGGCAUUAAAU